CGCGUGUGCUUGUCUUCCUGAGUAUCUGGUAUGUGAUUGUUUCUCUGCGCUGUCACCGUAGAAUAAGAAUGACGAAAACCUUUUUGCACUACUCACGUCUAACUCCAGUUGGUUAGCUCAGUUGGCAAAGCGCUCCCCUAGAAAUGGUGAGGUGCCUGGUUCGAUACUACGACCAGGCGGAUUGUUUCGGUCGCGCACCAGCACCUAGCUGUGUUUGGAGAUUUGUGUUUGUCAUUUGUCCCCCUUAAUUGUUCGCCUUUUCCAUGGAUUAUUUUCGCCAUGUAAUAUAUAUAAUGAAAAAACUUCAAUGUUUACUGUAAAUUUGAAGAAUUCCACAGGAAUACAAUUUGGCAAUAUCGACUUCAUCCGUUGAAUUAAGAGAAAUCAAAUAUUUCUUAAUUGUUUUUUUUUUCUUUAGAUUUGAAUAGGGAAGAGGUCUUGGUGGUCGUUCCUUAUUUAUGCUGAGAGCUAUCUGCUGUCACCUUCGAACGGCCCCUAGAAUACUAUCAGUAAACGUGUUGACUUCAACGUGAGUUUUAUAUCACAGAUUUUCAUUUCAUUUCAUUUAUUGGUACCCUCAGGGCCCGAAGGCAUUACAGAGGGGGUGGGAUUAUUACGUACAAGUUAAUGGAACUCUCAAAUCACAAUCAACUUCUAGUAGUAUUGAUACAGCUUUUUUUAAAUCAACAGGAUUAACAAUUGUGGCGAUGGAUGUGGAAAGGUGAUUCCAGUCAGCAGACGUACGAGAUGUUAUUGACUGGCAUGAAAUCGAAGAAUUUAGAGACGCUUCCCAGACAACACCAGACAUCCUCAGGACGUCCUCGAAAGACCAUCUUAGCUUUCUGCUGUGACCGUCAUCAGAAAUCAAUCUUUUACGAGCAGUGAAAUCAAAUGUUGAGUGCGCAAACAAAGCUGACGUGGAGACCAUCAUCAAAGUAUGCCUGCGCCACGCUGGAGAGAAACUGAAAAAGCUGCAGUCAAAGGCCGCAGAUGUUAGACACGAUGAUCCCGCUGACUAUUGACUAGUGCUGGCCAAGAUGCGAAG
Long non-coding RNA from Ixodes scapularis (black-legged tick), 1045 nucleotides. RefSeq lists it as uncharacterized. NCBI's taxonomy places the organism in Eukaryota, Metazoa, Arthropoda, Arachnida, Ixodida, Ixodidae. The transcript is spliced from 4 exons. The record is from RefSeq and is a predicted model, not a curated record.